AACCUCACCGCGACAUUCAAGAAGCCUUUUGAAACCCGCAUUGGAUCGAAGAAGAAGAAGAAGAAGGAAUGAUGAAUGUUUUAUGUAUGUUGCUUUCUCAGCUAGGUAUUGUCUGUAUUGGCCUUGUCGAGUGUUAGCGGCAAUGUUUUUGGUAGCGCUCCUAGUGUUGCUAAAACGCUACGUAGCGCAUGCAGAUUUGACUGCACACCAAUGCUAUUGAAGGGGCAAAUUACGUUAAUACGUGGACAUCAGGAACACUUCCCAGUCAAUUGAUAAUAGACUUGCCUCCAUUGGAUUGAACAUAAUGGAUGCCUCACAUGCCAUCCGAAAGGUGAUGUAUUCUCGUCAACACGAAAACCGCAUAGUGGUCUGUUCCAAUGAUUUUCAGGUCGCUAUUUGGGAUGCCUCAUACUCAUUAUUGAAAUUUUAUUUUUCUGCAAGGGGGCAUAUUUGGUGAAGGGUUGUUUAGAUUGCUGGAGCCUGGAAGGAACAUAAAAACCAGUUACACUGCAAUUAAUAUGCUUUAUUGUUUGAGAUUUACUGCGCCCAAACAUUGGUAGAACCCUGUCCAUCUACACGCAAACAUGUGCUGAUAUGGCACACUUGAGCAAGAUUCGAGGUUUCCACCAGGUAGUCCACACUUUUUAGAUCUUUUGGCCUAAAAACCAGGCUGUUGCACUACUCAUGUGGCCCACUGAGCACCAAAAGGGGAUACUAUUAAAAAAAGGAAAUGCUAAAGUUGUUUAGCCAUCAACUUGUCUUGUGCAUUGGGGUCACCCAUAUGACGAUUGAAGUAGCAUGUUUCUAAACCAGGAGAUAUAAGUCAUAUAAUCAGUGUGGCCCACCUGGUGGAAUGCUUAGUUCUCACUGCCACACACACAUUUUCUAUAUUUGCAUGUGGAAGCUUGUAAAUGGGCAAUAUUCUACUUGUAUGGGGGCUUAGCAAAAAACAUCUAGGUUGUCUUAGUAGGAAGAUCUAUAAGCAUUUCCUUUUACCUUUUUAGCUAGAGGAGUUAUAGUAUCUGAAAGGGGUUGGAUCAAUACAGUGCUUUGUACAUUAAGCUUGAUAUACAAAUUGCAUAUUUUGCA
Molecule: RNA transcript, 1089 nt
Organism: Magnolia sinica
Lineage: Eukaryota; Viridiplantae; Streptophyta; Magnoliopsida; Magnoliales; Magnoliaceae
Gene name: protein STRUBBELIG-RECEPTOR FAMILY 6-like
Exons: 3
Source: RefSeq, a predicted model, not a curated record